GAUGAACGCUGGCGGCGUGCCUAAUACAUGCAAGUCGAGCGAACAGACGAGAGUCCUUGCGCUCUCUGACGUUAGCGGCGGACGGGUGAGUAACACGUGGGUAACCUACCUAUAAGACUGGGAUAACUUCGGGAAACCGGAGCUAAUACCGGAUAAUAUUUAGCUUCGCAUGUAGCAAUAGUGAAAGACGGUUCUGCUGUCACUUAUAGAUGGACCCGGGGUGUAUUAGCUAGUUGGUGAGGUAACGGCUCACCAAGGCAACGAUACAUAGCCGACCUGAGAGGGUGAUCGGCCACACUGGGACUGAGACACGGCCCAGACUCCUACGGGAGGCAGCAGUGGGGAAUCUUCCGCAAUGGACGAAAGUCUGACGGAGCAAUGCCGCGUGAGUGAAGAAGGUUUUCGGAUCGUAAAACUCUGUUGUAAGGGAAGAACAAGUACGUGAGUAACUGAACGUACCUUGACGGUACCUGAACAGAAAGCCACGGCUAACUACGUG
RNAcentral lists this ribosomal RNA (499 nucleotides) under uncultured bacterium. Its description in RNAcentral is "partial 16S ribosomal RNA". It matches the Rfam family "Bacterial small subunit ribosomal RNA", at positions 28 to 507 of the family's 1533-position model. The record is from RNAcentral.